Notolabrus celidotus (New Zealand spotty) is the source of this 515-nucleotide long non-coding RNA. RefSeq lists it as uncharacterized. NCBI's taxonomy places the organism in Eukaryota, Metazoa, Chordata, Actinopteri, Labriformes, Labridae. The transcript is spliced from 3 exons. The record is from RefSeq and is a predicted model, not a curated record.
CUGGAGGACCAAAUGCCCCAGAGGCAGAUGCUGUGCCUCUUGUAGAGGGACCAGGAAGACCUGGGGGACCAGGAGGACCUGGUGGGCCAGGAAGUCCCUGCAACAAGAGAAGAGAAGUUAUUCCAGAUCAGGAAAUCCAGAGCCCUCCAUGUCCACAAAAGUCUGAAACACAUCAACUGGAAUCAGUUGGAUUCAACAAAUGAUUCACACAGAGGGAGUCUGGUGCUGAUACAUCUUUACUUCCACUGUUCAGCAUCUGACUGAGGCUAACGUUCACUCACAGAUCUCAUGCCUGGUCCUGGGGGUCCUGGAGGUCCUGGGAGCCCCCUGGCGCCAGGUUGACCUUCUCCACGAUCUCCCUAAUCACCUGGGGUUCCUGGGAACCCUGGAGGACCAUCGGAACCCUGUGGCGAGGAAACAAGAGGUUGUCAUUGUGUUUAAAGUUUUACUGUCAUAGACUAAGCUUCUCUGAUGUUUCAUCUUAAGAUAACCUUUGACUGUUUGCACAAAUUCAA